UACGUAGGGUGCGAGCGUUAAUCGGAAUUACUGGGCGUAAAGCGUGCGCAGGCGGUUUUGUAAGCCAGAUGUGAAAUCCCCGGGCUCAACCUGGGAAUGGCAUUUGGGACUGCAAGGCUCGAGUGCGGCAGAGGAGACUGGAAUUCCUGGUGUAGCAGUGAAAUGCGUAGAUAUCAGGAGGAACGCCGGCGGCGAAAGCGACUCUCUGGCCUGUAACUGACGCUGAGGCGCGAAAGCUAGGGGAGCAAACGGG
Molecule: ribosomal RNA, 253 nt
Filed under: uncultured bacterium
Lineage: Bacteria
Description: partial 16S ribosomal RNA
Rfam family: Bacterial small subunit ribosomal RNA
Source: RNAcentral